AAUCAACGCUGGCGGCGUGCCUCAGACAUGCAAGUCGAACGAUUAAAGCUCUCUUCGGAGAGUGCAUAAAGUGGCGCACGGGUGAGUAACACGUAAGUAAUCUACCUUCGAGUGGGAUAACGUCCGGAACGGACGCUAAUACCGCAUAACGCAGCGGCAUCGCAAGAUGACAGUUGUUAAAGAUUUAUCGCUUGAAGAGGAGCUUGCGGCAGAUAGCUUGUUGGUAAGGUAACGGCUUACCAAGGCUACGAUCUGUAUCCGGUCUAAGAGGACGGUCGGACACACUGACACUGAAUAACGGGUCAGACUCCUACGGGAGGCA
This 322-nucleotide ribosomal RNA is filed under the name uncultured bacterium. Its description in RNAcentral is "bacterial SSU rRNA". It matches the Rfam family "Bacterial small subunit ribosomal RNA", at positions 32 to 350 of the family's 1533-position model. The record is from RNAcentral.